This 11382-nucleotide long non-coding RNA is filed under the name Lactuca sativa (garden lettuce). Its description in RNAcentral is "long non-coding RNA (LSAT_LNC003591)". Lineage: Eukaryota; Viridiplantae; Streptophyta; Magnoliopsida; Asterales; Asteraceae. The record is from RNAcentral.
AAAUUUCAAAUCUCAUUUCCACGCAUUACUGACUUGUACGUUAUAUUUGUACCAUGUACAUGGAGUGCUUAUAUGGUUUUUGUUUUUUAGACACGUUUGCUUCAUUGUUGAGUUGUACAGUACAACCCAACCAUGCAUUGAAGAGUUGUACGAAAACGUACUAUCGGCUUAUGCUUGUACUGAAAAAUGAAGAUGACAAAUCACAUAUAUAUCAUGUUCAUUUAAGAACUCAUACGCUUUUUAGAUGCCUAAGUAGUCCACUAAAUCAAUAUUUGAUGCAGAGUUUAGUUGUACCGUACAACACAUUAAUGCAGCGGGAUGAAAAAAACAGAAGCAUGGUUGAUUUGUACAAUAUAGCCCAUCACCUAUAAUAGCCUAUGCUAUGCAUUGUAGGUCCCACGUAAAAUUAUUUUCUUCAUUUUCUAUUUGUACCAUGUACAUGUAGAUAUGUGGAUGCGUUUUUAGUUGUAAUGUACAACCCAACAAUGCAGGUUCUUUAUGUAAAUGCAUAUAUACGUAGAGAGAGAGAGAGAGAGAGAGAGAGAGAAUAUACCCGGAAGAGGAGUGGCACCCAAGAGUGUAUCAACGCCCUUGUACUUGCAAGCCUUGCAGUAAACAACACCCUGAACAGCCACCAACUUCCUCGCCGGGAUCGGAGCUAGGAACGGUGCCGGUGAGGAACUCGGUGGGUGAACAGGUGCCUUGGUGGGUGCCUGAACAGGUGCUUUAGUGGGUGGGUGAACCGGAGCAUGAACAGGAGCUUUCGUCGGCGCGUGAGCCAUGGGAGGCGAAGCAAGUUUGUGAUGGUGACCAACACCAGGUUUGUGGUGGUGGUGAUGGUGGUGAGGUGCCGGAGCUGCCACUGGUUGGUACGACGGAGCGUGGUGUGGCGCUUGUGUCCAGCUGACAUUGUCGUCGACACCAUCACCAAACACAUUCAUCGUCAAGCAUAAGCUCAGCAGCACUGCUGAGAGUAGAACCCUACUCCCCAUUGUAGAAUGUGUUGUUGGUGUUUGUGUGUGAGAGAGAACUAGAGAGAGAGUGAGAGGACGGUGGAAAUGGUGAGAAUGGAGUGGUGACAUUUAUACAGGGUUGGAAGGGUAGCUCUUGACAUUUUAUGACACAUUUACGUGUUAAAAGCAGAGGUGAAUGGGCCCUAGUAAAUACGAACUCGAAAAAAGAUGCAUGAUUUGUUUCGAUGCGUUUCACAAAAGUGCUUUAUUGCGCUAUAAAUAAUUGUUUUUUUAUAUAUAAAAUAACUUUUACUAUGGGUCGACGUGAAUUGAAGUCCCUAAAACAACAUUUAAGAUUUGUUAUUGACCUCUAUUAUGUUAUAUUUUUAUAAGAAUACAAUUGAAUCUAAGUUAUUUGUAAUGUUUUUUUGUAUGACAAAUUUCUUGGGCGGUGAUUGUGUAAAGAAAAGGAUAACACACCAAGUUUUAAAUGCAUAAACUUUGAUUGCGGGAGCGUAUAGUUUUUUAUGGACAUGCGGUGAGUCAUAAUGACAUGAUGGAUGCAAUAAUGAAAUAGGAAUUAUCGAGUAAUUUCACAACAAAAAUUAGGAGCUUAAUGGUUUUGAUAGGUUAAUAAGGGAAAAAAAUAAGGAAGGUUUAUUAGAAAAAUGACACUGACAGACUCCGUUCACUAGCUAGUGACUAGUUUAAGAAACAUGAAAAAUCGUUUUGGAAGAGAUGCAACUAUGCUAGAAAAAGUCCUUCAUACGUUUAACAGAAGCAUGUUGGCAUACGUUUCACAUAUUGUCUAAUGAGCCUUUUGGAUUAAUAUCUUGAAUAGGGUUUGGUAAUAGCCAAUCUUAUUAGUCGUUUUUAAAUUUUAAAUUUUAACUAGGAGAUGUUGGCAAUAAUGGUGUCUGUUUGGUUCUUUGGGUUAAUAGACCUUAAAGAAAGAUUUGGUAAUUUCCAAAUUCCAAGUACAAAUGACUUAGAAAUCAAUAUAUGUCAUGAACAUAAUAUAAUAUAACAUGUUAACUGAGUGACAAUUAAAUUAUAUAAUGGAUCAUUAGAAUAAUAAUUCUAAGUUGAAAAUAAGAAAUGUUGCUUUCAAAAAAAUUACGAAUAUAAGUAAUUAUCUGAAAUAAUAGUUUUUAAAAUAUUAAUAUUUGUUGAAUAUUGUUGUGUUAAUGGUUGUUGUUAAAACUUAUGUAUCUUACGUGAUGAAAGUGUUACGUGUUUUGCAUUAUGACAUAUACUUUCGGUACCGUAUAAAAAUUGAUUGCUCUAGUAUAAUAUCUAGCGUUUUUGAAGAUGAAAAUGUUACGUGUUUUGUUUUAUGACAUAUACUUUUGGUAUCAUAUUAAAAUAGAUUGCUCUAGUAUAAUAUCUAGUGUUUAUGAAGAUUACAUAUGAGACUUUUGGGAUUAGAAAUGGAAAGUGUCGUUGAACGAGUUUAUGGAUUUGUUAACAUUGUAUAACUUAUAAUGCUUUGACUUUUUGAUAUGAUAUUGUUGUAAACCCCAAAUAAAGAAUAAUAUUCCAAACAUUUCAAAGUAAAUUUUCUUUGGAAUCAAUUUAUAUAAAGCAUUACCUAAUGUUUUUUUUAAAUGACAUUUUCAUGAUCUAAUAAGGUAAUGAAAAUUUCGGUCACGACUAAGCCUCACACGUUGUCUGACGCUGAAUUUGAUGUUGGGAGAAAUCCAUGUCAAAUAUGAAGAUUGCAAGAAUAAAAAGUAAUUUAUAAUUAUAAUAUAUAUCAUUUCAUUCCAUAAGGAUUGGAAAAAAAAAAACACCCCUCUCCUUUAGAACUCGAUCAUAAUCGGAAUUUCAUUCCUCACACUUCAUGCUAUUCCUCAGUGGCAACCAAAGACGAAGAUUUUAUGCAUAAAAGUAAUUCUUAAAGUAAAUUAUUGUAACGCCUUGUUCCGAAUUGUUUCUUAUUUAGAGGCGAGUGAUGUAAUUUGGAUGAUUUGGGUGUUAGGUUUGUGUUUUGGAGCCAAUGGGUAUUUUCGGUAAAGUGUCAGUUCAUGUUUUAUGGAAUUGAAUCAUUGUUCGGGAAAUUUUAUGGCAUGUAUAAGUUGAUAAAAGCGUAGAGCCUCUUGCUACGUUUUCAUGGAUAUAAGGAUCAUCAGAGUAUUUUAGGGUUUAAGAAGAAACCCUAGUUUGUGGGUCGUACAUAGGGAGUAUGUGGGACGUACUGGUGCGAAGUGUAGUACGUGAGGCGUACUUUGGUGUACGCUUAGCGUACUACGAAGGAUGGAUCGGGAGUGUGAGGCCAUGUAUGUUGGGCGUACAAGGAUUAUGCGGGGCAUACGAGGAAUAGUGGAAACCUUAAUUUUAAGUGUGUGUUCCCUAUUUAAGCAUCUUAAGUCUUUAGGGUUGGCCUCUUUACCAUCCCCCAAGCCUCUUAAAACCCUAAAUUGACCCUUAGCCUCCAUUAAUGUGCAUUUGAGCUCUUGAGGAAAAUUUGAUGUUGUUUUGCUCAUUUUUAAAGAGAUUGAAGAAGGAUGAAGGUUCAUAGCUUGGUGGGGAACUUAGAGAUCCAUAAUCAUUCAUCACAUUGCAAGCCCUUGGAAGUAUCAAGUUCAAAUCUUGACUUGUUAAUGUUUGGAUCUCUUGUUGUCUUGAUUUUCAUGCUUUUGGCUCCCUUUUUGGGUUAAUUGAUGAGUUAAGUUGUUUGAAUGACUUAUUCUUCUGGAUAUGAGUUGUUUUGAGGUUCUUAUGCAUAAAGGUGCAAGCUUUAUGAGGUUUAAGGUCACAUGCAUGUGUUAACUCACCCAAUAGUCCUUUUCAGCUUUAAGAGCUUCAUUUAGUCAUGCAUGAAUGUAAAGUUGACAACUUUGUGCGAUUAUCUAGCCUAAGGAAGUCAGAUCUAUGUUUUGGAACAAUGUCUUAAGGGAUUAAGGGUUGAAUGUGAAAGGUGGUUGUUCAGGAGGAGUAUGUUGGGCGUACAAGCCUGUACGCGCAGGAUACAAGCCUAUACGUGUAGCAUACAAGCUCUAAAGCAUGUACGCUUAAUAUACAGCUGAAUACGCCCCGCGUACUUAGCAGAGUGGGCCUCGAAUCUUUGGUCUUCGGUUUGUGCCAUGUUUUGGGAUUUGAUGUUUAGGGUUUUGUUGGGCCAUCUGAUUUCUGGUGUUUUGGGCUGGGUAUAUUAUUGGGCCUUGGGUUAAGGCCCAUGGAAGCGAUUUUGGCCCAAUUUGGAAAACUGGGCCAUGUUUGGGCCUUGGGUGUCUAUUUGAAAUUGGGCUUUUGGAUUGUUGGGUUGGGCCUUGGCCUUGUGCCAAGUUAUGGAGAGGACAAAAAGGUCUUUUACCCUGGUUCAGACAUUUUAUAUGAGUCGGGAUCCCAGUAUUUAUUUGGAUUAUGUUUUGUGAUUAUAACGUGGGGAUUUUAGCGGGUCAGCAACUAGAGAUUUAUCUGCGAGAUUCAGAAGUGUAAGGUGAGUCUCCUCACUUAAUUUAGCGGUUCAAAGGCAUCAAUGUCGGCCCAUGGUUUAUAUGUUAGGAUGUUACAUGUCUGUAUGACUCUUGCAUGUGUUAUGUGAUGGUACCGGGCAAGGCCCAAUGCCAGGUGGGGCCUGAUAAGUAUAAUGUAUGCUAGUUAUCAGUAGGUGUUCUCCAUAUGGUAUAUGUUUGGGACGUUUUAAUUAUAUUUUUGUCGGCCCAUGGUUUAUAUGUUUGGGACGUUUCAAUUAUAUUUUGCUCCAUAUGGUAUACAUAUUUAUGUAGGUUUGGUCGUAGUUUUUAAAAUUUGCCAUGAGUUGUCCUCAUGGUUGUAAAAUCCAUCAAAAAUGUCCUCUCACUAUGUUACUGACUAUAUAAAUAUGUUAAAGAAACAUCAUGUGCUUCUCAUAAGAGGGCAUUUUGCUAUUUUCCUCCCUUUUUUUUUGUCUCUAACGACUUUAUGCCGUUAAUAAGUUUAUUUAUUCCUACGAUUUGCAUAAUUUGUCCCUAGGAUAAAGUUUCCAUUAUUCACCAAAGAAAAACUAUCCAUAUUCUUGAUUUUCAUCAAAUAGUUACUCCUUUUGUUAGUCUACUGCAACAAAAAAAUUCAAAACAUUUUUGAAGGAUCGGUAUUAAGAGAGAUAAAAUGAUUUGUUAAUAUAUUAUAUGAUUAACAUAUUAAUCAUAAUUACUCAAUAAUUAAUUAAGAAUUAAUCAGAAUUAAUUUUGGGUUAAUUAGAAUUAACUAAAAUGUGAAAUUAUCCAAUAGUUUAACAAGGAAGGAAAUUCUAAAACCCUUCUACCUAUGUUCGGUUUUGGUGUCGCUUAGGAAAGGUUAUGGAAGCAAUCUGAUUCCAAUAAGGAAAUUGCAUUUGAAUCAGAUUAAAAUAUUAUUAUUUCAAUAUUCAAAUUUAGGGUUUCAGGGUUAGCAAUAUAAAUGGUCUUAACCGUAAGCAAAGCCGAUCCCUAACCUCCUCAAUAAAGAAUUUGAAAUUCUCCCUCCCCCUAUAUCCUAAAUAUCGCUCCUAGGAUUUCCUACGGUUUUGGGUGCGAUUUAUUAGUAGCUACCACACUAUUGGAGCUAAGUUUUCCAAAUGAGAUCUACAAGAAGGUUUCUAGCAUCAGUUGUUUGUUGCUAAAUGUAUGAUUCUAACCCUAAGUAAUUUCAAUUAUAGUAGGUUAUAAGUUGUUUCUUAAAGUAUGUAGCUAUAAUAGUGAAAAUGCCAUAAAAGUUCUAGGUUGCAUUUGCUCAUAAGAGUUUAUGUGUAAAAUCCUUUAUGCGGAUCUUUUUAUUGUAACAUAGAAAACCCAUCAGCUCCAACCAACAAUGUGGAACUUAUGAGUAUUAAAACAUGUUAUUAAUGUUAAAGAAUCUUCUAGUAAGUGUUUAUUGUCCCACCAUCGUAGGGAUUUGCAUAAAAUACUCUCCAUUUGUUUGUUAUUUUGUAAAGGGUUUUGAACGGUACUUCAUGAUGCAAAUCAACCAUGAUGGGUUUUUUUCAAAAGCUCCAAUAAUAAAAUACAAUGGUGAUAAGGUUACAUACAUUGAAAAUGUGGAAAUUGAAGAGUUUUCUAUAUAUGAAUUAAAUGUUGUGGUGUAAGAAUUAAGGCAUCUCAAACAUGAGCCUAUUAUCAUUUCUUCAUGCCUAAAGGUUAGCUUGUUUUUGGUUUUUAACUACUUAGCAAUGACCAAAUGUGAUUAAUCUUUCAAGGUGUAUAGGGAAAUUAAAGAGAUAAAUAUUUGCACUAGACAUGGUAAAAUCCAGCUACAUACAUACUUCAUGCCCCAUGUUAAAGUUAUUAUCCAAGAAAUUGAAAAUUCUUCAUUCCUAAGAUAUAAUAGGAACAAAAAAAGAUGAUAGAAACGGGUUCAUAUAUUGAGAAUCUUAAUUUUCACUUUAACACACCAUUGUAUUUUUCCCAAGUCAUUCAUAUUAAUGCACAUGAUCAAACAUUAAAUGGCAUAGUUUAUUUCUAUAGAACCGGUAAAAAUUAAAUGGAAUCCUUAGUUGUUGAUGAAUAUUUUGGUACAAGAUCAAGGUCAUGCUCAAGCUUUGCCACACGAGUUAAUUACUACCCUUAUUGUUGAACAAGAAUCAGGUCGUGAUCAAGUUUCGACACAAUAUUUUAUUAAUCCCUUUGUUUUUUAACAUUAAGUCACAGACAAAGUAAUGUUAACGAUCCCAUGUUUGAUUAAGAAGACUUGACUUUUCGACCCAUUCUUUGACUUAGGAGAUAAUGAUAUAUCAUAUGAGGAUAUAAUAGAAGAGGAUUAUGAAGUUGAAAAUCAAGUUGAAUAUGAACCACAAGUUAAAAAGACAUUAGGGGCAUUUGUUGAUGACAUGUAUCAAGAUCAUGCAUCAAGUUAUGAGAGUAAUAAUGAUGAUAUCAUAUUUGAUAGUGACUUUUAAUUGGAAGAUCAAGAAUUAAUAAAAGAUUUAGACAUAGACAUGGUUGAUCCAGUAGUUUAGGGUUUUGGUAGGUAACAAGACAAUGAUGUGGAUACAUACUUCAAACCAAACUAAUAUUGAAGUGAUAGAGACAACAUAGUUCAUAUUUUAUGGUAUAAAAUAGUAUAGAAGAAAUCGGAUAUUAUCAAACCUAAGGCAAUCAAGGACAUGCUUGGCAACUGAAGUGAGUGAGGAUAGGUUCUCACUUGGUGAAAUGUUUAUAAACAAGAAACAUAUGAAAUAGGUAAUUACUAAUCUUGAAAUAGAAAGUAUAAGAUAUUGACAUAUUUUCAAAAAUAAUAAAGUCUAAAUAAAGGUUGUUUGUAGAGGCUUCGUGACAAAUUUAAAUGAAAGUGGUCCAUCUAAAAGCAUUAAAGACAAAGGGAAACUUAAGUUGGUAAAAUCAAAUAGUAUUUAAUUUCCUUUAAAUACUUCAUACUUCUAUGUUAAAGAAACAAGAUGAUUCAAUGGUUAAAAAGACAUUAUAAUGUGAGAGGAAAAGAGAGGAAAAGACAAACAUGUCCAUGUAUAAGGGGCACACGAUGCCUCUUUAAUAGACUUUGUUAGAAAAUAAUAGAGGGAGGGACCGUUAUUGAUAGAUUUACUAAUCAUGAUGACCACUAGUGUCAAAUUUCAAAAACUAUGAACAAACCUACAUAAAGGUAUACCAUAGGAACCAAAACUAUAAUGUACUCUACACAAAACUACAAAAUUCUUCCUUGUGGUUUGCAAAAAAAAAAAACUAUGGAUAGGGUCUAAAACGUUUUCGAAUUGCAUAAAAUGUCCAAAAUCAGGAAAUUCCUAUGAUUUUGGUCCAUGGAAAACUUGAAAUGACAGCUUUUCCAUUUUAAUUUAUGUUUUAUGUUUGUUUUAUAUUUUAUUAACUAAAAAUAACAAACAUGUUCCCAACCUUUCUCUCUCUCUCUCUCUACCAAACAUCUUCCUUAUCCCUUCUUGUUUUUUCUCCCCUUAAUUCUAAUUUGGAAGAUAAUUCCGGAAUUCAAAAACUUGUAAUCCAUAUGUAACGUAAUACCCAUUUUUCAUUCUUGUAACCCAUAUAUAAGUUCAAAAUUCAUAUGAUACACAUAUGUGCAUUCAAUCGUACCAAGAGAGAAAGAAGGGAGAGAGAGACUCCAAAUAUGAAAUCCUUGAUAGUACAUGAAAGUUGAUCUUUAUCCUAUCCAAACUGAGUAAAUAUUAUGAGAUCAAGUGAAACGACCCAAAAAUACGGUUCGAAAUUUUCAUUUUUAAUAUAACCAAAAAUCAUAAAACUGAGUAUAUCAUAAUAAGACCAUGCGUUGCGUAUCUCAAAACCAUACUAAAAUAUUGUAAAAAGUAAACUGUGCCACAACUGUAUCAAAACAUAUCUAAGAAAACUGAAUCAACUCCCAGGAUAAAAACUGAAGCUAUGGUGUGUGCGAUGCCAUCAUCCCGAGCUCUUCCCUUUGCUUGUGGAAGUACCUGAAACCAAAACUGAAACUGUAAGCACGAAGCUUAGUGAGCUCCCCCAAACUACCACAUACCACACAAUAACAUAUAAAGCACAUACUGGGCCUUGCCCACUGCAUCAAACCGAAGUCCGACUAACUGGGGCCUUGCCCCCUACAUCGGACCGAAGUCCGAAGCUAACUGGAACAUCGGACCGAAGUCCGAAGCUGACUGAGACCCUCGUCCCCUACAUCGAACCAAGUCCGAAGCUGACUAGGACAUCAGACUGAAGUCCGAAGCUGACUGGGACCUACGUCCCCUACAUCGGACCGGAGUCCGAAGCUGACAUCGGACCGAAGUCCGAAGCUGACUGAACAAAGCAUAAACAUAUCAUCUACCAUAAACACAUAACCCUGUCUGAACCACGAAGGCAUCAAACAUACUAACUACUACAUCGGACCGAGGUCCGAAGCUGACUGCUAGCUAAACGGGUCGACAUUGUGGCCUUAGACCCAUUACUACUGGAAGGAAACUCACCUCGUGAACUGGCUGCUGUGUGAAUGGCUCUGGAAGCUAACUGUUGCUGCUCCGGUAUCUCCCCGGCUACAAGGCCAUAAACACACUCAAUCAAAUACUAAACACUGCACUGGGGUAAAAUAACUCUUUUACCCUUGGUCAAAGUCAACUCUCCCGGUCAAAGUCAACCCACAGUUGACCUGACUCGCCGAGUUGGGCCACCAACUCGCCGAGUCUCUAAUCUCAUUUCACAACCCCACUCGUGGCUACUCGUCGAGUAUGGCAUCGACUCGACGAGUACUCUCUCAAUCCAAGAACUCAGACAAUCUUCAUCCGACUCGCCGAGUCAUAUGAACAACUCGACGAGUUGUUCUUGAGCUUAAGAAGAUUGCCUUGGACUCGCCGAGUUGUAUGAACAACUCGCCGAGUCCCUCCAUUACUGAGUCUACCCUCAAACUCGCUGAGUCCACUCCACUACUCACUGGUCCCACUCGACACCGCUCAAAAGGAAGAAAUCGGGGACUCGCGACUCGACUCGCCGAGUCGUUCUUCCGACUCGCCGAGUCACAGCCAUGCAACUAUUCUACACUCGAUUCUGCUCGAAUCCAAAACAUACAAAUGAUAGAUCUGAGUCCAAUAAGCUGAUUUACCACGUAAAGUUUCCAACUUUACGUGUACAAACACAUGAACAAGGGAAUAAAGGCUAAAAGAUGCUUAAAAGGGGUAGAUCUAGGGUUAAUAUGCAAAAUAGCUCCAUAAAGGCAAUAGAUCUGGGCUCUACAACUCCUAAAUGAACAGAUCUAAGGAUAUCUCGACAUAAUAGGGCUUCCAUAUCAACAUAAGGCUUGAGAAAAGCAUCAACUAGAUCUAGAAGGGGUUUUAAAGCAUAAAAGGGAAGGAAAUCUGAAGAAUACCUCAAAGAGCUCUUGCUUUCCCUUGAAUCUCUGCUCUACAAUCCUUCUCCUUGCUCCUUUCUUCUUCUCCUUCUUCAAGCCUUCACAAAUGCACACAAGAUCACUUAAAACACUCAAGAUCGAAUUAGGGUUUUCUCACAGCUUUAGAGGGUGAAGGAGGCGAGAUUGGGGGCUAUAAGGUGGCUUAAAUAGUGGGCAACCCGGGGAUUUAGGGUUUCUCCCAGACGGACAGACUCGCCGAGUCCAGAAUAUGGACUCGCCGAGUCGCCAGCUAACACGUGCUCGAAAUCCCGACCCUACUCGGCGAGUCAGGCUAUGAACUCGCCGAGUCCCUCUUGCAAAACUUCAAAAUAAAUACCAAGGAAUUAUCAUACCGGAGACGGGUCGUUACAAUUCUCCCCCACUUAUCUCAGACUUCGUCCUCGAAGUCUGCUACGGCUGAAUCUGCAAAUAUCUCUGGGUAGUGCUCCCUCAUCUCCUCCUCAGCCUCCCACGUCCAUUCCGAUCCCUUCCGGUGCUGCCACUGCACCUUCACUAACUGAAUUACCUUGUUCCUCAAGGUCUUGGUCUUCCGGUCCAGAAUCGCGACCGGCCUCUCAAUAUAAUUCAGGCUACUAUCAACCUGAAUAUCCUCUAGGGGAACGACUGCUGACUCAUCCACCAAACACUUCCUCAACUGAGACACAUGGAAAGUGUUGUGGAUCUGACUAAGCUCCUCAGGAAGAUCUAACCGAUAAGCAACCCGACCCACCCGGGCCAAAACCCUGAAAGGACCAAUAAAUCUGGGGCCCAACUUGCCCCUCUUCCGGAACCUGAUGACACCCUUCCAAGGUGAGACCUUCAGAAGGACCAUAUCCCCCACCUGGAACUCCAAGUCCGAACGCCUCCUAUCGGCGUAGCUUUUCUGCCGACUCUGAGCAGUCUGCAGUCUACUACGGACCUGCUGGAUCAACUCAGUCGUCUUGAGCACCACCUCCGUGCUCCCGAUGACCCGCUGACCGACCUCGCCCCAACAAAUCGGGGUCCUACACUUCCUCCCAUACAGCAUCUCAAAGGGAGGUCGAUCAAUGCUCGCAUGAUAACUGUUGUUAUACGAGAAUUCCGCUAACGGAAGAUACGUAUCCCAACUGCCACCGAAAUCUAGGACACAUGCCCUAAGCAUGUCCUCGAGAGUCUGAAUCGUCCUCUCGCUCUGCCCGUCUGUCUGAGGGUGGAAAGCGGUGCUGAAAUGGAGACGAGUACCCAUCUCGUCGUGGAACCGCUUCCAGAAUCUGGAUGUGAAACGGACAUCUCGGUCUGACACCACCGAUACCGGCACUCCAUGACGUGCCACAAUCUCUCGCACAUAGAUAUCGGCUAACUUCUCCGCCGAUAUACUCUCCUGGAUCGGGAUAAAAUGGGCACUCUUCGUCAACCGAUCCACUACUACCCAUAUCGAAUCCACUCCUCGUGCGGUCCGGGGAAGCUUGGUGACAAAAUCCAUGGUAAUGUCCUCCCAUUUCCACACGGGAAUGUCUAACGGCUGCAUCCUGCCGUGAGGUCUCUGGUGCUCCGCCUUGACCUUCCGGCAGGUCAGGCAUCUCUCGACGUACCAGGCGACGUCCCGCUUCAUGCAGGGCCACCAAUAAUCAGGUCGAAGAUCUCGGUACAUCUUCGUCGCCCCUGGGUGGAUAGA